CUAACAAGCUCCACAAGUUUGACCUCAAAUCAGGUAGGACUACCCGCUGAACUUAAGCAUAUCAAUAAGCGGAGGAAAAGAAACCAACAGGGAUUGCCUCAGUAACGGCGAGUGAAGCGGCAAAAGCUCAAAUUUGAAAUCUAGUGUCUUUCGGCGCUCGAGUUGUAAUUUGAAGAUGGCGACUUUGGGGGUGGCCUUUAUCUAUGUUCCUUGGAACAGGACGUCACAGAGGGUGAGAAUCCCGUCUGAUGAGGUGACCCAUCCCUUUGUAAAGCGCUUUCGAAGAGUCGAGUUGUUUGGGAAUGCAGCUCUAAGUGGGUGGUAAAUUCCAUCUAAAGCUAAAUAUUGGCGAGAGACCGAUAGCGAACAAGUACAGUGAUGGAAAGAUGAAAAGAACUUUGAAAAGAGAGUGAAAAAGUACGUGAAAUUGUUGAAAGGGAAGGGUAUUAGAUCAGACUUGGUGUUGUGUGAUUAUCUUCCCCUUGUGGGUUGUGCACUCGCGCUUCACUGGGCCAGCAUCGAUUGGGGUGGCGGGAUAAGUGCUUAGGAACGUAGCUUUUCCUUCGGGGAUUGUGUUAUAGCCUCUGCCCAUACCGCCCGUCUCGAUCGAGGACUGCGUCUUUUGACUAGGAUGCUGGCGUAAUGAUCUAAUAUCGCCCGUCUUGA
This 666-nucleotide ribosomal RNA is filed under the name Wickerhamomyces alni. RNAcentral's name for it is "LSU rRNA". It matches the Rfam family "Eukaryotic large subunit ribosomal RNA", at positions 1 to 657 of the family's 3401-position model. Lineage: Eukaryota; Fungi; Ascomycota; Saccharomycetes; Phaffomycetales; Wickerhamomycetaceae. The record is from RNAcentral.